This 322-nucleotide ribosomal RNA is filed under the name uncultured Cantharellaceae. RNAcentral describes it as "eukaryotic LSU rRNA". It matches the Rfam family "Eukaryotic large subunit ribosomal RNA", at positions 289 to 611 of the family's 3401-position model. Lineage: Eukaryota; Fungi; Basidiomycota; Agaricomycetes; Cantharellales; Hydnaceae. The record is from RNAcentral.
UAAUGGGAGGUAAACUCCUUCUAAAGCUAAAUAUUGGCGAGAGACCGAUAGCGAACAAGUACCGUGAGGGAAAGAUGAAAAGAACUCUGAAAAGAGAGUCAAACAGAACGUGAAAUUGCUGAAAGGGAAGCGUUUGGAGUCAGAUGCAUCCUCAAUGUAAUACGGCUCAGUUGGCAGAGACUGAGAGCAGUGACUUGAAGAUGGGCCAGCACUCACGUAGAUCAUUGGAGAAGGGGUCAUGGAAUGUAGCUCAAUUCUUGAGUGUUUAUAGACUUGAUUCAUAUACAAUGUGUCUUAUGUGUGUUAAUUGACAGCACGAGUC